This 155-nucleotide ribosomal RNA is filed under the name uncultured Deinococcus sp. RNAcentral describes it as "partial 16S ribosomal RNA". It matches the Rfam family "Bacterial small subunit ribosomal RNA", at positions 349 to 521 of the family's 1533-position model. Lineage: Bacteria; Thermotogati; Deinococcota; Deinococci; Deinococcales; Deinococcaceae. The record is from RNAcentral.
CAGCAGUGGGGAAUAUUGGACAAUGGGCGCAAGCCUGAUCCAGCCAUGCCGCGUGAGUGAUGAAGGCCUUAGGGUUGUAAAGCUCUUUUAUCCGGGACGAUAAUGACGGUACCCUCAAAGGAAGCACCGGCUAACUCCGUGCCAGCAGCCGCGGU